GGACGUUUUUAUUCUUCUAUUUACACCACUGAGGCCAACACCACUCCCUCCGCAUAUGGGUGAGCAGCGGGUCGGACCCUGACCGGCCCGAACCGACGAUCUGACGGACCGAACCCACCACCCGAACAUCAAUCCGAUUCGAUCCGGAUUUAUUCUGCCGAAAUUUAAAAAUUUUAUUUUCCCUGUUUUACACUCUAUUUAGUUGCCUUAGUUUUUACAUUAAUCCCAUAACACUCACACUAUCAAGCUUCUUGGUUCCAUGCCAUUUAGCAAAGGAAGAAGCUAAUCCAAAUAUUUAUUAUUUAUGCUUAAAGAUGUGGUUAAGAGAGACUGAAUCAUAAUUGCAUUCAAUAUAACAAAGAAUAGCUCAAGAAUUGAGAACUCACACAUUUAUAUUCAAGACAUAAUAUCAAAUUAUUAAUGCAAGUUAGCAGGAUAGAGAAGAGCAGGUUGCCAAAUGAAAUGAUCUCCAAAAGAAUAAAAAGAGAGUUAAAAAUUUUGCUCACCCCUACCGCCGUAGACGGCGACUCCACCGACUUUCGGGGUGACGAAAGUGAAUACUGCGAGGCUGGAGCCGAGGGUGGAAGAGAAAAAUGGGUGGAUGAGAGAGAGAGAGAAAAGAAUAAC
Molecule: long non-coding RNA, 627 nt
Filed under: Salvia miltiorrhiza (redroot sage)
Lineage: Eukaryota; Viridiplantae; Streptophyta; Magnoliopsida; Lamiales; Lamiaceae
Description: long non-coding RNA (SMIL_LNC011272)
Source: RNAcentral